GCCCCCACCAUCAGUUUCAAAAGGAAUCACUUGAAGGCCUGAAAGGCAGGCGGAAAAAAGAAUCCUCUUUUUGCAACCCAGAACUCAGUGUUCACUAUUAGUUCUGAUUCAUAUAAGAAGGAAUACA
RNAcentral lists this small nucleolar RNA (127 nucleotides) under Microtus ochrogaster (prairie vole). Its description in RNAcentral is "Small nucleolar RNA SNORA40 (ENSMOCG00000006810.1)". The stretch from base 26 to 127 matches the Rfam family "Small nucleolar RNA SNORA40". From Rfam's summary of the family: The snoRNA ACA 40 belongs to the H/ACA family of snoRNAs and guides the pseudouridylation of 28S rRNA subunit at position U4565. NB This family has a high threshold value to exclude a large number of closely related sequences that do not appear to have conserved H and ACA boxes, and may be pseudogenes. The record is from RNAcentral. Lineage: Eukaryota; Metazoa; Chordata; Mammalia; Rodentia; Cricetidae.